RNAcentral lists this unclassified non-coding RNA (658 nucleotides) under Gaiadendron punctatum. RNAcentral describes it as "sequence contains ITS1, 5.8S rRNA gene". The stretch from base 277 to 432 matches the Rfam family "5.8S ribosomal RNA". The record is from RNAcentral. Lineage: Eukaryota; Viridiplantae; Streptophyta; Magnoliopsida; Santalales; Loranthaceae.
GGAUCAUUGUCGAAACCUGCACAGCAGAACGACCCGCGGACACGUUCAAUCGACGGGUGCGGGGACCGGGCGAAUUUAUCCGUCCGGCCCUCCCCCACGCCGGCCCGCGCGCGGCUCCUCCCUCCCCGCUCACUCGACGCCUCGGCGCGAUGGGGCUUGCGGGGGACUCCCGUGCGCGGCCGGCUCCAACUACGAACCCGGCGCGGACUGCGCCAAGGAAACUAAAACAAGGAGCGUGCUCCCCCCGGGGGCACCUCUGCGAUAAAACACUAUAACGACUCUCGGCAACGGAUAUCUCGGCUCUCGCAUCGAUGAAGAACGCAGCGAAAUGCGAUACCUGGUGUGAAUUGCAGAAUCCCGUGAAUCAUCGAGUCUUUGAACGCAAGUUGCGCCCGAGACCAUUAGGUCGAGGGCACCCCUGCCUGGGCGUCACGCGUUGCGUCGCCCCCCCACCCCCGUACCUCCGGGCACGGGUCGGGAUCGGGGCGGAUGUUGGCUUCCCGCGCAUCCCCUGCUCGGUUGGCUGAAAAAAGCAGUCUCCGUGGCACGGUACUCGACGGUUGGUGGAUGACACACAGUAUUGUCCCAUCGUCUCCCCGGCGCCACAGAGCGAACUGCGACGACCCUAGAACCGUGUCCACCUCGAGGUGGGCAUCGA